Long non-coding RNA from Rhincodon typus (whale shark), 886 nucleotides. RefSeq lists it as uncharacterized. The transcript has 3 exons. Lineage: Eukaryota; Metazoa; Chordata; Chondrichthyes; Orectolobiformes; Rhincodontidae. The record is from RefSeq and is a predicted model, not a curated record.
GUGGGUGGUAACGGUGAAAGGGCUCCUUACUGCGCCUGCGUGAUCUCCCCGCCAUUCCAACUUCCGCGCCUGCGCGGCACUGCUUGCAAUUGCUGCGCGUGGAUUUUAAAUUUGAAAGUUUUUUUUAAAAACCGGCGAAGCAGGAACUUGAUUUAAAGCGACCUUUUCCUCACCGGGUAUGCUGCCAGACCUGCUGAGCUUUUGCACCAACUUCUGUUUUUAUUGCUGCCGGAUCUACCGAGUUUCUCCGGCAAUUUCUGUUUUUUUUUUACGAUCUCCAGCGGCCUUAGAUGUUUGUUUUGUCGCAUUAUUGUUUUGAACUUAUUGCACCAGCUCGUUUGUUUCGCAGAGGAACUUUUCACUUCAAACCGAAUAAACGGCCUUGAGUUGGCGUGGCUGUGGUGAAGGUGAAAAAUUUGAUUGUUAAAACAGUCAUCUCAACUUGGUUCAAUUCAUUGAGCAAAGGAUACCUGAAAAAAAAUUCUCUGACUAUGGAACCUAGUUGAUUUCCAGAGAAUUUAAGAAGGCUGCUGAACAUUAUGAAUUCAACAUCAUCACUUCAUCAUCACAUUACCCAAGGAGACACAGAUUUAUAGUGUGAUAAUCUCAACAUUCUGUAUCCCAUGUGCUGUGAAAUCUGAUACCUGUGGAGAUUGUAAAUAUUCAGGCACAGGAUAUCAGGAAGUUCCAUUGGUCAUUGCAUUUGAUUCUGCCCAGUAAUAAAAGUGGAAUGCUCUGGAAGUAUCGUAAUGUGUCACUCAAACAAUUACAGGAUAAUUGAACAGUUCCAGAGACCGUUAUUUUAGUAAGUUGGGGAACUCAACUGCAGACAACUAAAGUUCAGUACAGCUAGGACGUGGGAGUUUGGAGAAACCCAAGAGGAUGU